RNAcentral lists this small RNA (464 nucleotides) under Pongo abelii (Sumatran orangutan). RNAcentral describes it as "processed transcript". Lineage: Eukaryota; Metazoa; Chordata; Mammalia; Primates; Hominidae. The record is from RNAcentral.
GGCAUUCUUCCUGGGUCUUACCAUUAUCUGCAUAUUGCCAAGCCUGCCAUUCCAACUCCCUUGGAGGUACAAAUGGUACAGCCUAAUUAUGGUUUAGAAAUAGUAACCGGUAGUGCGAAAAAUGGGACUUACUUCCGAAUUCAUAUUAACGAGUAUAAAAUGGUGGAAACCAUCACAUGCCUUUCUAGGGAGCCCUUCCCCGCCUCCAACUACAUCCGCUUGUUUGGCCAGCACGAGCAACUCCUCAACAACCUGUGUGCUCGGUAUGAUGAAAACCUGAUCACAGAUCUCUAUAGUCGCAUGGUGGUCUUCCAGCAGAAACAGUUACCAAGAAAUGGGAACUACCCUCAGAGUUCUGGCAUCUUCCUUCUGUGGCCUCUCGAGAACAGAGGAGAUCAUUAGAGGGUCCUCGUGUUGCCUAGCAACCUGUGAAUGCUGUUUGCUAUCAUGUUAUUAAUAUGAUA